This 245-nucleotide unclassified non-coding RNA is filed under the name Hevea brasiliensis (rubber tree). Lineage: Eukaryota; Viridiplantae; Streptophyta; Magnoliopsida; Malpighiales; Euphorbiaceae. The record is from RNAcentral.
AAAGUAAGGUUUUUGAGGGAUUUUGGACUCAACCUGUCAAAUUGUGGUGAUAAAUUAAAUAUUAGUAGCUUCCCAUGCAUUUGAUUCAAACAACAUAAGGUUCUGGCAUGGUGAGUCUUUCUCCCGCUUCUCUUUGUAUUUGUACAUUACAUUAUAUUAUAUAAAUAAAAGAAAUAACCCAUUUAUGAUAUGAUACAUUUGUACAUGGUUAUUUAUUAUGCUUGAGAUACUUGCUCAUGUACAAU